GAGAGUUGGAUUCCUCUGAGCUUCCUGGUUCGGAGGCGCUCCUGGACGCCGUGCUGCGGACCCUCUACGACCUGGGUGAGCGUAUCUCCUGGGAGGAGGCGGCCAAAGGCAGCGAGAUGCAUCGGAAGGCGGCGGGACCACGGGCUACGAGAUUUCCUGGAGCCAUGCCGACCGGCGGGCUCUUUCCUGCAGCGCCUCCCUCUCCGAGACCUUUUCACCUACUUCUUGGCCGACCUUUCGCUCUCCUUCUCACUGAGCAGGAAAGAAAAAUCAGAGCUGGAUACUAAAGUCAGGCUGAAGUGCUCACGCAGAUUGCCUGACUUUUAGAACCAGACACGUAGCAAACGCUCAAUUGUGUUUAUUUUGGAGUGGUUACUCAAAAUUCCAAGCUCACUUAGACGAUUAAAAAGAAAAAAGCUUAGAACUCGGAAGAACGUUCCAGGUGUACAUGCUUUUUGUGUGUUUCCCUCAUUAACUGUUAGAGCAACCUUAAAUAUAUUAAAGGUUCCCCUUAAGAGCUCGAGUCUCAAGAUCUAGAGCCUGAUGUGACAUUCUGAGCCGAGUUUACUUGUCCGUUUUAGGUUCUCAGUGUCCAUGGAGUGGAGGACAGACAGCACUUGGCCUCCGACUUUUACAAGUUUUAAGACUUAAUUUUUUUAAAAUCAUAAAUAAAGUUUAUAUCCGCAUGUGCUGGAAUUUAUUAAGAUAGUUGCUCAAGUCACCCGGAUUCUUCUUACUCAUUUUU
RNAcentral lists this long non-coding RNA (745 nucleotides) under Rattus norvegicus (Norway rat). RNAcentral's name for it is "long non-coding RNA NONRATT014829". Lineage: Eukaryota; Metazoa; Chordata; Mammalia; Rodentia; Muridae. The record is from RNAcentral.